RNAcentral lists this ribosomal RNA (446 nucleotides) under uncultured bacterium. RNAcentral describes it as "partial 16S ribosomal RNA". It matches the Rfam family "Bacterial small subunit ribosomal RNA", at positions 338 to 795 of the family's 1533-position model. The record is from RNAcentral.
CCUACGGGUGGCAGCAGUCGAGAAUCAUUCACAAUGGGGGAAACCCUGAUGGUGCGACGCCGCGUGGGGGAAUGAAGCUCUUCGGAUUGUAAACUCCUGUCAUGUGGGAGCAAAUUAAACAGUUCGCUCCACACGAGGCAGAGAUGACUAACUCUGUGCAAGCAGCCGCGGAAAUACAGAGGUCGCAUGCGUUGUACGUAUUCACUGGGCGGAAAGGAUGGGUAGGAUGUUACGUAAGUCGUGUGUGAAAGGCGCAGGCUCAACCCGCGAACGGCACAUGAGACUGCGAGAAUUGAGUAAGGGAGAGGGAGCCGGAAUUCUCGGUGUAGCAGUGAAAUGCGUAGAUAUCGAGAGGAACACUAGUGGCGAAGGCGGGUUGCUGGACAGUAACUGACGCUGAGGCACGAAGGCGAGGGGAGCAAACAGGAUUAGAUACCCUAGUAGUC